Molecule: long non-coding RNA, 1900 nt
Filed under: Marmota monax (woodchuck)
Lineage: Eukaryota; Metazoa; Chordata; Mammalia; Rodentia; Sciuridae
Source: RNAcentral
CAGGUCAUGAAAUCUUAUGGGCACAUAGGGUAAUAAUGUCUGAUUCAUUCUACUAUCCUUCUGAUCCCUAUAUCCCCUCCCCUCCCUUCACUCUCCUGUGUCUUAUCCAAAGUAUAUCUAUUCUUCCCUAGCCCCCCACUUAUUGUAAAUUAGCAUCCAUAUAUCAGAAGUUUCAGCCUUUGGUUUUUUGGGAUUGAUUUAUUUUCUUAGCAUGGUAUUCUCUAGUUCCAUUCAUGUACCAACAAAUGCCAUGAUUUCAUUCUUCUUUAAGACUGAGCAAUAUUCCAUUAUAUAUAUGUACCACAAUUUCUUUAUCCAUUCAUCUGUUGAAGGGCACCUAGGUUGGUUCCAUAGUAUAGCUAUUGUAAAUUGAGCUGAUUAAACAUUGAUGUGGCUGCAUCACUGUAGUGUGCUAAUUUUAAGUCCUUUUCAUUCUGUGGUCUAUCUCCCUCUCCUGUUAUAAGGUUAAAAAGCCAAUUGGACCUGACUAAUGAGCAUCUGCCCACUAUGAGCCCGUUAUGUCCUCUGUGACCUUCUUCAAAAAUAAUUUUGGGCUAAUCUGAUUCAUUUCCCAGGACUUUGGAAUUGGGAUAUUGAAGAAAUUAGCAGUGACAUUGGGGUAGAAGUAAAAACUGAGAGGCCCUGAUGAGCCACAAUAAGCAAGACCACAUUAGAGUCAGAGAUGUGGAGAGGAAAAACUAUGAGCAAAACAGAAAAAUGAAUCCAGAGGUUGAUGGGCCAGGCAGUGUUUGUUUUCCUGUUGUCCAUCUGUGGGAAUGGCACCAUUAUGCAUCUAGUGGUCCCAGCCUAGUAUAAGACAUUACCCAAAAGAGGUAGGGGCUUACCUGCAUCCCUUCCAGCUGUUCUCCAUGUCAUCCUCAAAAAAGAGUAUAUUUUGCCCCAUUACCACUACUCCCACCCAAACCUCCACCUCUGUAAAUUCCAUGAAUGAUUUCCCAUUUUUCAUUAGAUGGAGACAGAAUUUCUGCACGUGAAAGAAUGAAGUUAGACCUCUACCUCAUACCAUUUGCAAAAUUAGUUGAAAAUGAAUAGAAGCUCGAAAUAUAAGAACUAAAAUCAUAAAAUAUUUAGAAGUAAGCAUAAUUGUAAAUCUGUGUGAUAUUGAAUCAGGCAAGGGUUUCUUAGAUAUGACACUCAAAGCACAAGCCACCAAAGGAAAAAAGUAGAUAUAUUGGACUUCAGAAAAUUAAAAACUUCUGUGAUUGAAAAAAAAAAUUGAAAUGAUAAUCCACAGCAUGGGAGAAAAUAUUUGCAAUUCAUACAUAUGUAGAAGGUCUACUAUCCAAAGUAAUAAAAGAACCACUGCAGAUCAACAAUUAAAGAACUUUAAAAAUAGGCAAAGUAUUUUAUUUUAUAUUCCUCCAAUGAAUAUAUAGAAAUAACUAAUAAGCAUAUGAAAAAGUUGUUCAACAUUAUUAGUUAUUAGGCAAAUGUAAAUCAAAACCACAAUAAAAUACCACUUCAUCUCAAAGGAUGACUAUUAUUUUUAAAAACGUAAAAUAAUAAGCAUGAGGAAGAAUAUGAAGAAAUUGGCAUUUUCAUUAUGUUUCUGAUGGGAAUCUAAAAUUGUAUAGCUAUCAUGAAGUUCCUAAAAUGAUUAAAAACAGAUUUACUGUUUCACCCAGCUGUUUCACCCUUAUGCAUAUACACAAGACAACUGAAAGCACAUGUCUACCCAAAGGUUUGUACAUGAAUACUUAUAUUAACAAUCUUAUUCAUGAUGGCCAAAAAGUAGCAAUAGCUCAGACACCAACUGAUGGAUAAACAAAUGCGGAAUAGCCAUUCAAUGGGAUAUUAUUCAAACAUAAAAAAAAUGAGGUAUAAUUUGUGCUACCUGAAAGAACUUUGAAAAUUGAUGUAAAAAAGAUAGAAGUUGGAC